AGAUAUCUGUCCAAGUGUGUGUACUGGACCUGAUAGCAAGAUACCCCAUUGCUACCGAUUGGUGCAGAAACAAAUGGGAUGGCAGCAAGCAUUGAAUUACUGCAAGUGAGAUGGCGGUACCCUAGCUGCUGUCUACAGAAUGAAAGAAUACCAGCUUCUUCUUUCCAUGGUAAAGCAGACCCAGAACCUCUCUGCUUAUGCCUGGGUAGGACUGAAUAAUAUGGCACAGGAAGGGAUGUUUGUGUGGACUGAUGGAUCAUCUGUGGAAUGGUUCUGGUCCAAAAAUGUCAAAGCUCAGCAGUCGGGGAGAAGACUGUGGCACUGAACUCUCAGGCAGGGGCUGAGGGCUUUGAUGACAAGUGUGAGUGGCUGUACCUUAGUCUCCGUGAGAUUCGCUACAAGUGAAGCAGUCAAAGAUGACAGAGGAGUCCAACACCAUCCACACAGAGUGAGAGCGCAAAGGGAUUUUGCCAACAUACUCUGAUUUUAUUUUAUGUUAUCGCACGCAAACUCCGUUGAGUUGUUUGAGGAUAAAAAGUGAUAUAAUGGUAAUUACAUUAUCAUUUGUUGCCAUUUUCAAUUGUAACAGGAAGUUAGUCAGGUUGAUUCUACAAUUGCAUUUUCAAUCUUGUUUUCUUUAUGUAACUAGCCUUAAGCUACUAACCAUUGAGGCACCCACUAAAGGUUUAUCCACAGUUCAAUCCCCUUACUAACUCACAACCGACUGUUUAUCUAAGAACACAGAUAGGAUAGUGUCGCAUGUACAGGUAAAAUUAGUCUCAAUACUCUGAGGGAACAUUGUUAAUGGUUUGCCUAUUUUGUGGAAUAUUGAAAGAAUUGGUGGAAUUGUUGCAUCCUGAUUAUCCCUCAAUGCUUCCAUGCCCAUCUCUUUGAAUAAAACCUUUCAGCAUUAACCUUUCUAAGGCAUGGCCAAUCUGUUUUACAUAUCACCGUAUAAUUUCCUAUGUACUAGCUUGAUUGUUUGGUGUCUGGUACCUUGUGUAAGACGUCAGACAGAAAUAUGAUACUCACAGCACGCACAGCAUCAACAAGGAGGGGGGAGGACGUAUAGCUUCUUGCUGUAGUUGAGACCGGUCUGCUCGCUCACCAAUGUGCACAGCUUAUCCACAUUAACACCAUUGAAUAACUUGGCACAAAGCCCGGUACAUUAGCAACAAUGUAAUAAGCACAUAGAAACAACAGUGUAAAGUGAAGCAUAUUUUCCAAAGUGAACUUUCCAGACACAUUUAUUGGGCUGAUAACAUUACUCAAACACAGUGUAUGACCAUUGUAAACAAUAAAACUGAAAGAAAAGGCUUCAGCUCAGAACUGCUUCCAGAAUUCAGUGUGCCAAGCGUUUAAAAUACUCAAGUUUUUUUCAUCUCUUUUUUUUUUAAUCCUCUUAAUAUAUUUUUAAAUGUUUUUGUAUUUAUCUUUUUCAGCAGUACUGAUAAUUAUACUAUGUACAACAAAGGCCGAGACACGCAUCGGUUCAUCCCUUAGACAGAAGCUCCAUUCCCGUUUUUUCCUUUUGUAAUGACCUACUGUUACAAGGCAAGAAUGUAAGGUCUCGCUCUCUUGGGUUGUUGCAGUCGGCAUGCCUUGUAGGUGAUGACGAUGCAGCUAUGAGCCUUGCAUACCUUCUGUCUGCACCACUAGGGGCAGUGUCUUAAGUCCUUAAGAUCCCCCCCCCCCCUGGUAGCAAGGUGUCUAUGUACAAAGGCUAAAAGUCCCACUCAGUUCAUGUGAAGAGGCUUUACGAAAGAAAUGCUUCCGUGUUUUUGUAUGUUUUCAACUUUUUUUUUAUCUCCCAAAAAAGUAUCAGUAUCAAAACGGGUUUCGUAAUAGAUAUAUUUGUAUUGGGUGGGUGUGUUAGCAUGUGUUGGACAAAUAGUUGUCGAUGUACGUAUGAAAAGUUGUAGUCUCUUUGCAAAGCAACGCAAAGUAUUUUACUUGGU
Molecule: long non-coding RNA, 1958 nt
Organism: Oncorhynchus kisutch (coho salmon)
Lineage: Eukaryota; Metazoa; Chordata; Actinopteri; Salmoniformes; Salmonidae
Exons: 4
Source: RefSeq, a predicted model, not a curated record